This 1274-nucleotide long non-coding RNA is filed under the name Ananas comosus (pineapple). RNAcentral's name for it is "long non-coding RNA (ACOM_LNC044604)". The record is from RNAcentral. Lineage: Eukaryota; Viridiplantae; Streptophyta; Magnoliopsida; Poales; Bromeliaceae.
CGACUAUUUAAUAAGUUGAGUUGGGGUAUGAAUUGGAAUUGAAGUGAGAUAGUUUCGAGGACGAAACUCUUUUAAGGAGGGGAGGAUGUAAGGUACCGGACUUCUAAAAUUAUGAAGUUACGGCGUACAUUUAGUUGGAAAGCCAUUUGAAUGGUCCGGUAAGGUUGCGGUGGAAUGUAAUAUACCGGAUUUUAAAUAUAAAAAUAAAAAUAAAUAAAAAUAGUGUGAGAUACUAUUUUUAUUGGAUUUAGAGGAGUAAAACAUAAGUCAGAAGUGACUUGUGCUGAAAUCAGAAUGAAAACAGAAGAUCUAGAAUUUUCUGUUGGAGACGGGACAGAAAAAUAAGCAGAAAAUAUACAGUCUCAGAAAAUUAUGAAAAUUGGCGAAGAUGUUAGAAAUAUUUUUAUGAGGCUAGAUUUAGAGUUUCAUAUUUUUCUGACACCUGUAGAGUGAGAAAUAAAAUCCGAGGGUUAUCUGAUAAAGAUUACAGUUCGGCACAGUUUUCGGUGACCAAAUGGGGUCGAAACUGAAAACUUAAAAUAUAUUCUUACUCAGUACAUAAAACCGAACAUGACUGUGAAGUUUGAGCUCAAACGGAUGUUCAGGGAGUUCCGGCGAAAGAUAUCAGAUUUCGAACUGCCCGGGAGUGAAUAGUGUUGUGGUGUUGACUAAAGAGGAGUGUUGGCUCCUUUUGUUCUCCUUCAGCCGCACACACACCACACACACACACGCGCGCAUGGAGGGGGAGGGAAACCCUCCCUUCUCUCUCUAGAGAUCUCUCUCAUCUCUCUAAAUCUCUCUCUAAAAAUUGGAGGGUUGGUGGAGAUGAUGCUUGCGAACGCAUUGGGAGCGACGGAUCGAGCUUUUGCGCGGCCGUUGGAGCGGCGUGUUCUCGUCGUGGCGUUCACAUUGAGGUAAGCUUUUGGGAUUUGGCUUAAUCCUUAAUGCUUAGUGUUCUAAUAGCCUCUAAUGAGUAUUCUAAACAUGUUUGCUCCAUUUGAUUUGGAUUAUUUAGACGUUAAUUGCAUGUUAGGGCUCCGAAUGGGGUUUUGUAAAAUAUGGGGGUUUGAUCUAAUUUGACUCUUCGUAAACCUAAUUGCUAGGUAAACGAACGCGUUGGCGAAGUCGGUUCGGCGAUUCGUCGAUCCGUUGUAAAGUUAUUAAAGAAACAGACGUUUAGGCUUCGUUUCCGCCUGGAGGGCCGAGGCGACAUCGUAAACCCACGAAAACGGAUUUGAAGCACCGUGGCACAUAACCGAAGACCUUUAAUUUUC